GAUGAACGCUGGCGGCGUGCCUAAUACAUGCAAGUCGAGCGAACGGACGAGAAACUUGCUUCUCUGAUGUUAGCGGCGGACGGGUGAGUAACACGUGGAUAACCUACCUAUAAGACUGGGAUAACUUCGGGAAACCGUAGCUAAUACCGGAUAAUAUUUUGAACCGCACGGUUCAAAAGUGAAAGACGGUCUUGCUGUCACUUAUAGAUGGAUCCGCGCUGCAUUAGCUAGUUGGUAAGGUAACGGCUUACCAAGGCAACGAUGCAUAGCCGACCUGAGAGGGUGAUCGGCCACACUGGAACUGAGACACGGUCCAGACUCCUACGGGAGGCAGCAGUAGGGAAUCUUCCGCAAUGGGCGAAAGCCUGACGGAGCAACGCCGCGUGAGUGAUGAAGGUCUUCGGAUCGUAAAACUCUGUUAUUAGGGAAGAACAUAUGUGUAAGUAACUGUGCACAUCUUGACGGUACCUAAUCAGAAAGCCACGGCUAACUACGUG
RNAcentral lists this ribosomal RNA (497 nucleotides) under uncultured bacterium. RNAcentral's name for it is "partial 16S ribosomal RNA". It matches the Rfam family "Bacterial small subunit ribosomal RNA", at positions 28 to 507 of the family's 1533-position model. The record is from RNAcentral.